RNAcentral lists this long non-coding RNA (3461 nucleotides) under Salmo salar (Atlantic salmon). Its description in RNAcentral is "lncRNA (ENSSSAG00000099747.1)". The record is from RNAcentral. Lineage: Eukaryota; Metazoa; Chordata; Actinopteri; Salmoniformes; Salmonidae.
GUUUGAUGUUAACCUGCUGAAAAGAGGACUGUUAGCACACCUGUACUGCAAAUCUACCUGUACGGAGGAACAAACUCAGUGUAUGAAAUAUAAAUGAAAUCCCUGAUAAAUGUCUAUUGACAAAACUGUAGGUUUGAGAUGUAUAAAACACAUUGUUGAAUCAUGCAUGAAUACCGUACCAGUGUGCCGGAGACCACGUCUGUGUCCCAAAUGGCACCCUAUUUCCUAUAUAGUGCACUACUUUAGGGAAUAGGGUGCUGCACUACAUAGGGAAUAGGGUGUCAUUUGGGAUCAUGCAUGAAAACGAGCAGUAAAGGACUACAAAUCAGCCCAGUCAUGCUGGAAGGUGGCAGUGGGCAGGACACUUAGCAACAGCACACAACACAUUUCAACAUCACACUGUCCUACGCUGACGCCAUCGACCACAAACAUCUUCUGAUUCCUCCGCCCAACCACACACAACUCUACCAUCCAGACAGGAUCCUUAUAUUACAACUCUAUCACCCAGACAGGAUCGUUAUAGUACAACUCUACCAUCCAGACAGGAUCCUUAUAUUACAUCUCUACCACCCAGACAGGAUCCUUAUAGUACAACUCUACCACCCAGACUGGAUCGUUAUAUUACAACUCUACCACCCAGACAGGAUCGUUAUAGUACAACUCUACCAUCCAGACAGGAUCGUUAUAGUACAACUCUACCAUCCAGACAGGAUCGUUAUAGUACAACUCUACCAUCCAGACAGGAUCCUUAUAUUACAACUCUACCAUCCAGACAGGAUCCUUAUAUUACAACUCUACCACCCAGACAGGAUCCUUAUAUUACAACUCUACCACCCAGACUGGAUCAUUAUAUUACAACUCUACCACCCAGACAGGAUCCUUAUAUUACAACUCUACCACCCAGACAGGAUCCUUAUAUUACAACUCUACCAUCCAGACAGGAUCCUUACAGUACAACUCUACCAUCCAGACAGGAUCCUUAUAUUACAACUCUACCAUCCAGACUGGAUCAUUGUAUUACAACUCUACCACCCAGACAGGAUCCUUAUAUUACAACUCUACCACCCAGACAGGAUCGUUAUAUUACAACUCUACCACCCAGACAGGAUCGUUAUAGUACAACUCUACCAUCCAGACAGGAUCGUUAUAGUACAACUCUACCAUCCAGACAGGAUCCUUAUAUUACAACUCUACCAUCCAGACUGGAUCCUUAUAUUACAACUCUACCACCCAGACAGGAUCCUUAUAUUACAACUCUACCACCCAGACAGGAUCCUUAUAUUACAACUCUACCACCCAGACAGGAUCCUUAUAUUACAACUCUACCACCCAGACAGGAUCAUUAUAUUACAACUCUACCACCCAGACAGGAUCCUUAUAUUACAACUCUACCACCCAGACAGGAUCAUUAUAUUACAACUCUACCACCCAGACAGGAUCCUUAUAUUACAACUCUACCACCCAGACAGGAUCCUUAUAUUACAACUCUACCACCCAGACAGGAUCCUUAUAUUACAACUCUACCACCCACACAGGAUCAUGAUAUUACAACUCUACCAUCCAGACAGGAUCAUUAUAUUACAACUCUACCACCCAGACAGGAUCCUUAUAUUACAACUCUACCACCCAGACAGGAUCAUUAUAUUACAACUCUACCACCCAGACAGGAUCCUUAUAUUACAACUCUACCACCCAGACAGGAUCAUUAUAUUACAACUCUACCACCCAGACAGGAUCCUUAUAUUACAACUCUACCACCCAGACAGGAUCAUUAUAUUACAACUCUACCACCCAGACAGGAUCAUUAUAUUACAACUCUACCACCCAGACUGGAUCAUUAUAUUACAACUCUACCACCCAGACAGGAUCAUAUACAUCAGAUACUCUGUGUGGUACAGACAGACAGACAGACAGACAGACAGACAGACAGACAGACAGACAGACAGACAGACAGACAGAGACAGAGAGAAACAGACAAGACAGACAGACAGACAGACAGACAGACAGACAGACAGACAGACAGACAGACAGACAGACAGACGUAUGGUGUCCAUCAGCUUUAGCAGUACAGACUUAUGGGUAACAGGGGUCCGGGCUGAUAACCUAGGGCUGUCUUUUGCAGCAAUAGCCCUACAUUGAGGUCACAACAAAGACAACGACAGUAGUGUACACUACUUUCAGAGAGAAAUCCUAAGAAUGUGCACUACCAGAACUUUUCUAAAGAAAAGCCACAUGAAGCAGUAGAUUACAGGAGAAUAGAAUGAGGGGUGACUCUGCCUGUGUCCCAAAACGGAAAACAUAUUCCCUACAUAGUGCACUACUUUUGCAUGGGCCCUGUUCAUAUGCGGAGCCGUUUGGGGAUGCACUUCCCUCCCUCUCCUGUCGACACAUUCGACCUCAUGCUUUCUCCUCUGCCCGGGGUCGGGCCUUGAUUGACACUGUUAUGAUGUCGUAGUGUUCCGUUGCCGAGGUAACCCCCUCGGCUUCCCGCUGGGGGACGGGACUGUGCAGCAGGAGACAGCUAGGCAGAAGGUGGACCGUGCCAGAGAGUCAACCAGUUACCCCAACAAUAUACACACUGUAAAUAGAUAGCACAGCAACCAGCCAACCGGCAGGAAGGAAGAGAGAGGGAGGGAGGGAGAAAGAGAGAACGGGAGAGGGUACGGCCCAGUACAUCACCGGGGACAAGCUUCCUGCCAUCCAGGACCUCUAUACUAGGUGGUGUCAGAGGAAGGCCCUAAAACAUUGUCAAAGUCUCCAGCCACCCUAGUAAUAGACUGUUCUCUCUGCUACCGCACGGAAAGCGGUACCGGAGCGCCAAGUCUAGGUCCAAGAGGCUUCUGAACAGCUUCUACCUCCAAGCCAUAAGACUCCUGAACACCUAGUCAAGUGGCUAACCUAAACCAUUUGCAUUGGCCCCCCCCCCCACACCUCCUCUUUUAUGCCACUGCUACUCUCUGUUAUUAUCUAUGCAUAGUCACUUUAAUAACUCUACCUACAUGUACAUAUUACCUCAAUUACCUCCACACCGGUACCCCCUGUAUAUAGCCUCCACAUUGACUCAGUACCGUAACACCCUGUAUAUAGCCUCCACAUUGACUCAGUACCGUAACACCCUGUAUAUAGCCUCCACUUUGACUCAGUACCGUAACACCCUGUAUAUAGCCUCCACUUUGACUCAGUACCGGUACCCCCUGUAUAUAGCCUCCACAUUGACUCUGUACCGGUACCCCCUGUAUAUAGCCUCCACAUUGACUCAGUACCGUAACACCCUGUAUAUAGCCUCCACAUUGACUCAGUACCGUAACACCCUGUAUAUAGCCUCCACAUUGACUCUGUACCGGUACCCCCUGUAUAUAGCCUCCACAUUGACUCUGUACCGGUACCCCCUGUAUAUAGCCUCCACAUUGACUCUGUACCGGUACCCCCUGUAUAUAGCCUCCACAUUGACUCUGUACCGU